GUUUUUAUUGGGACCUUUUCACGAGCCCCCAUUUUCCAAUUGGCGAACCAACCCCAUAGGAUUAGUCACUGGGAAAUCCUCAGGGAAACACAGACUGAUUUUAGACCUAUCAGCACCUCACUCCUUGGCCAUACCAAGCCUCAAUUCCCUAAUUCCAUCCGAGGAAUUUUCACUCCAGUACGCCACUAUAGACAACUCUAUACACACCAUCAUCACAGCUGGUGUAGGUGCUUGGCUCAGUAAAAC
Pelobates cultripes (western spadefoot toad) is the source of this 246-nucleotide non-coding RNA. NCBI's taxonomy places the organism in Eukaryota, Metazoa, Chordata, Amphibia, Anura, Pelobatidae. The record is from the annotation of a GenBank genome assembly.